This 1116-nucleotide ribosomal RNA is filed under the name Lactobacillus helveticus. RNAcentral describes it as "bacterial SSU rRNA". It matches the Rfam family "Bacterial small subunit ribosomal RNA", at positions 38 to 1142 of the family's 1533-position model. The record is from RNAcentral. Lineage: Bacteria; Bacillati; Bacillota; Bacilli; Lactobacillales; Lactobacillaceae.
GGCCCGUGCGCAGCUAUACAUGCAGUCGAGCGAGCAGAACCAGCAGAUUUACUUCGGUAAUGACGCUGGGGACGCGAGCGGCGGAUGGGUGAGUAACACGUGGGGAACCUGCCCCAUAGUCUGGGAUACCACUUGGAAACAGGUGCUAAUACCGGAUAAGAAAGCAGAUCGCAUGAUCAGCUUAUAAAAGGCGGCGUAAGCUGUCGCUAUGGGAUGGCCCCGCGGUGCAUUAGCUAGUUGGUAAGGUAACGGCUUACCAAGGCAAUGAUGCAUAGCCGAGUUGAGAGACUGAUCGGCCACAUUGGGACUGAGACACGGCCCAAACUCCUACGGGAGGCAGCAGUAGGGAAUCUUCCACAAUGGACGCAAGUCUGAUGGAGCAACGCCGCGUGAGUGAAGAAGGUUUUCGGAUCGUAAAGCUCUGUUGUUGGUGAAGAAGGAUAGAGGUAGUAACUGGCCUUUAUUUGACGGUAAUCAACCAGAAAGUCACGGCUAACUACGUGCCAGCAGCCGCGGUAAUACGUAGGUGGCAAGCGUUGUCCGGAUUUAUUGGGCGUAAAGCGAGCGCAGGCGGAAGAAUAAGUCUGAUGUGAAAGCCCUCGGCUUAACCGAGGAACUGCAUCGGAAACUGUUUUUCUUGAGUGCAGAAGAGGAGAGUGGAACUCCAUGUGUAGCGGUGGAAUGCGUAGAUAUAUGGAAGAACACCAGUGGCGAAGGCGACUCUCUGGUCUGCAACUGACGCUGAGGCUCGAAAGCAUGGGUAGCGAACAGGAUUAGAUACCCUGGUAGUCCAUGCCGUAAACGAUGAGUGCUAAGUGUUGGGAGGUUUCCGCCUCUCAGUGCUGCAGCUAACGCAUUAAGCACUCCGCCUGGGGAGUACGACCGCAAGGUUGAAACUCAAAGGAAUUGACGGGGGCCGCACAAGCGGUGGAGCAUGUGGUUUAAUUCGAAGCACGCGAGACCUUACCAGGUCUUGACAUCUAGUGCAUCCUAAGAGAUUAGGAGUUCCUUCGGGACGCUAGACAGUGUGCAUGCUGUCGUCAGCUCGUGUCGUGAGAUGUUGGGUAGUCCGCACGAGCGCACCUUGUUAUUAGUGCAGCAUUAAGUGGGCCUCUA